This 468-nucleotide ribosomal RNA is filed under the name uncultured bacterium. Its description in RNAcentral is "partial 16S ribosomal RNA". It matches the Rfam family "Bacterial small subunit ribosomal RNA", at positions 28 to 507 of the family's 1533-position model. The record is from RNAcentral.
GACGAACGCUGGCGGCGUGCUUAACACAUGCAAGUCGAACGGAAAGGCCCUGCUUUUGUGGGGUGCUCGAGUGGCGAACGGGUGAGUAACACGUGAGUAACCUGCCCUUGACUUUGGGAUAACUUCAGGAAACUGGGGCUAAUACCGGAUAGGAGCUCCUGCUGCAUGGUGGGGGUUGGAAAGUUUCGGCGGUUGGGGAUGGACUCGCGGCUUAUCAGCUUGUUGGUGAGGUAGUGGCUUACCAAGGCUUUGACGGGUAGCCGGCCUGAGAGGGUGACCGGCCACAUUGGGACUGAGAUACGGCCCAGACUCCUACCGGAGGCAGCAGUGGGGAAUAUUGCACAAUGGGCGGAAGCCUGAUGCAGCAACGCCGCGUGCGGGAUGACGGCCUUCGGGUUGUAAACCGCUUUCGCCUGUGACGAAGCGUGAGUGACGGUAAUGGGUAAAGAAGCACCGGCUAACUACGUG